UACGUAGGGCGCAAGCGUUAUCCGGAAUUAUUGGGCGUAAAGAGCUCGUAGGCGGUUUGUCGCGUCUGCCGUGAAAGUCCGGGGCUCAACUCCGGAUCUGCGGUGGGUACGGGCAGACUAGAGUGAUGUAGGGGAGACUGGAAUUCUUGGUGUAGCGGUGAAAUGCGCAGAUAUCAGGAGGAACACCGGUGGCGAAGGCGGGUCUCUGGGCCGAUACUGACGCUGAGGCACGAAAGCGUGGGGAGCAAACAGG
RNAcentral lists this ribosomal RNA (253 nucleotides) under uncultured bacterium. RNAcentral's name for it is "partial 16S ribosomal RNA". It matches the Rfam family "Bacterial small subunit ribosomal RNA", at positions 524 to 776 of the family's 1533-position model. The record is from RNAcentral.